GCGGGAAUAGCUCAGUUGGUAGAGCGACGACCUUGCCAAGGUCGGGGUCGCGAGUUCGAGCCUCGUUUCCCGCUCCA
RNAcentral lists this transfer RNA (77 nucleotides) under Actinobacillus equuli subsp. haemolyticus. Its description in RNAcentral is "tRNA-Gly". It matches the Rfam family "tRNA". From Rfam's summary of the family: Transfer RNA (tRNA) molecules are approximately 80 nucleotides in length. Their secondary structure includes four short double-helical elements and three loops (D, anti-codon, and T loops). The record is from RNAcentral. Lineage: Bacteria; Pseudomonadati; Pseudomonadota; Gammaproteobacteria; Pasteurellales; Pasteurellaceae.